AUAUCUUUCUCGGCCUUUUGGCUAAGAUAAGUGUAGUGUGUGUUUAUUAGCAUAAUAUCUGAUACGUAGGCUAAUGGCUCAUACGAUAUGAAAUUUAUUUUUGAGGGUGAGAACCUUUCAUAAUAGCUUGAGCUUGAAUCGAGCUCAAACUCGAACUUGAAUUAAGCUCAAACUCGAGCUUGAAUCGAGCUCAAAUU
Small nuclear RNA from Hibiscus syriacus, 197 nucleotides. RefSeq annotates it as U2 spliceosomal RNA. The transcript has a single exon. The record is from RefSeq and is a predicted model, not a curated record. NCBI's taxonomy places the organism in Eukaryota, Viridiplantae, Streptophyta, Magnoliopsida, Malvales, Malvaceae.